Molecule: unclassified non-coding RNA, 240 nt
Filed under: uncultured fungus
Lineage: Eukaryota; Fungi
Description: sequence contains ITS2
Rfam family: 5.8S ribosomal RNA (bases 1-52)
Source: RNAcentral
AACGCACAUUGCGCCCUGUGGUAUUCCGCAGGGCAUGCCUGUUCGAGCGUCAUUACAACCACUCAAGCCUGGCUUGGUAUUGGGGUUUGCGGUUCCGCAGCCCCUAAAAUUAGUGGCGGUGUCGGUGUGGCUCUACGCGUAGUAAUUCUUCUCGCGACGGAGUUCCCCUGGAUACCUGCCAGAACCCCCCAAUUUUUACAGGUUGACCUCGGAUCAGGUAGGGAUACCCGCUGAACUUAA